UGGGGAAUAUUGCGCAAUGGGGGGAACCCUGACGCAGCAACGCCGCGUGAAGGAAGAAGGUUUUCGGAUUGUAAACUUCAGCAAGCAGGGAAGAAAGAAAUGACGGUACCUGAACAAAAGCCACGGCUAACUACGUGCCAGCAGCCGCGGUAAUACGUAGGGAGCGAGCGUUGUCCGGAAUUACUGGGUGUAAAGGGAGCGUAGGCGGGAUUGCAAGUUGGAUGUGAAAACUGCGGGCUCAACCCGGAGAGUGCAUUCAAAACUGCGAUUCUUGAGUGAAGUAGAGGCAAGCGGAAUUCCUAGUGUAGCGGUGAAAUGCGUAGAUAUUAGGAGGAACACCAGUGGCGAAGGCGGCUUACUGGACGGUAACUGACGUUGAGGCUCGAAAGCGUGGGGAGCAAACAGGAUUAGAUACC
RNAcentral lists this ribosomal RNA (416 nucleotides) under uncultured bacterium. Its description in RNAcentral is "bacterial SSU rRNA". It matches the Rfam family "Bacterial small subunit ribosomal RNA", at positions 355 to 786 of the family's 1533-position model. The record is from RNAcentral.